This 986-nucleotide long non-coding RNA is filed under the name Homo sapiens (human). RNAcentral's name for it is "HSALNT0226307". The record is from RNAcentral. Lineage: Eukaryota; Metazoa; Chordata; Mammalia; Primates; Hominidae.
GGUCAGACGAGUCACUCACGCAUCCCGAAAUCCUGCCAGAGGCUGGAAGCCAGGUGCAUUAAAUGUGCUGAGAUUUACGCGCCCAGGGCACUGGGGACCUGAACCAACAGUUUGUUCAAAAGCAGACACCUGCCUACAACAGGGUUGUUGUAAAGCUGGAUUCAAACACUGAGACUUGUGCGAUGAAAUGGACCCAGGGUUUGUGUUUCAGGCCUGAGGUUGGAGGCAGGAGGCAGGGAGGGACGCUGGGCCGAGGCCUCGUCUCCUGGAGGCUCUGACCCCACUGGUGCAGGGUGGCGUGUGGGCAGGGGCACCUCGGGAGGGGAGGUUUGACGUGGAGCACGGGAGCCGCUUUGGGUGGGAAGACCGAGGCCUGAGGGGCACUCAGGACUCUCUCUAUCCUCGGGCUCUGUGAGCUAGAGUGGGGAAUGGGGGGAGUGGACCGGGAGCCUCUGGGCGGCCGACAAUGGGAAGGCCCCUGACCUGGGAGUCUGGGGGCCAUCACUGUGGCAGCCCCAUGCCCUCUGGGAAGGUCCUCUGCUCUCUGGGUGGGGUCCGUGGGACUGUGUUAUGAGCAGGCCCCUGAUGGCGGGUGGGGUCCUGUCCCUCCGUUCCUACCCAGCCACGGGUGGCAGUUCUGUCUUCCUCCUGCAUCAGCCGACAGCCCCUUCCCAGGAGCUCUGAGUCCGCCUGCUGCUCCGGGGCCGCUGGGGUGAGGACGGGGUGAAGAGGCGCGGCCCUGUCUAUACCAGCACCGCCACUGCCCACUGGGGCCCACAUCCCGCCCACUGGGGCCCACAUCCCACCCACGGCGGCCAGGGACAGACGUCCUUCCUGUGUCUUGUGUCCCUUCACCACUACCAGCCCGGCACGUCCUUUGCCCAUUCUCACUCCGACACUGACCUGAGAUGGGGCUGCCCCACACCCGGGCACACACCCGGGCACGCACCUGGGAAGGCCUGGAUCCUGUUGGCUGGGAAGAAGUG